RNAcentral lists this ribosomal RNA (490 nucleotides) under uncultured bacterium. RNAcentral's name for it is "partial 16S ribosomal RNA". It matches the Rfam family "Bacterial small subunit ribosomal RNA", at positions 30 to 507 of the family's 1533-position model. The record is from RNAcentral.
AUUGAACGCUGGCGGCAGGCCUAACACAUGCAAGUCGAACGGUAACAGGGAUCAGCUUGCUGAUUCGCUGACGAGUGACGGACGGGUGAGUAAUGUCUGGGAAACUGCCUGAUGGAGGGGGAUAACUACUGGAAACGGUAGCUAAUACCGCAUAACGUCGCAAGACCAAAGAGGGGGACCUUCGGGCCUCUUGCCAUCGGAUGUGCCCAGAUGGGAUUAGCUAGUAGGUGGGGUAACGGCUCACCUAGGCGACGAUCCCUAGCUGGUCUGAGAGGAUGACCAGCCACACUGGAACUGAGACACGGUCCAUACUCCUACGGGAGGCAGCAGUGGGGAAUAUUGCACAAUGGGCGCAAGCCUGAUGCAGCCAUGCCGCGUGUAUGAAGAAGGCCUUCGGGUUGUAAAGUACUUUCAGCGGGGAGGAAGGGAGUAAAGUUAAUACCUUGGCUCAUUGACGUUACCCGCAGAAGAAGCACCGGCUAACUCCGUG